UACGGGGGGGGCAAGCGUUGUUCGGAAUUACUGGGCGUAAAGGGCUCGUAGGCGGCCAACUAAGUCAGACGUGAAAGCCCCCGGCUCAACCGGGGAAUUGCGUUCUGAACUGGACGGCUGGAGUGGGAUAGAGGUGUGCGGAACUUCCGGUGGAGCGGUGAAAUGUGUUGAUAUCGGAAGGAACGCCGGUGGCGAAAGCGGCACACUGGGUCUCAACUGACGCUGAGGCACGAAAGCCAGGGGAGCGAACGGG
This 253-nucleotide ribosomal RNA is filed under the name uncultured bacterium. Its description in RNAcentral is "partial 16S ribosomal RNA". It matches the Rfam family "Bacterial small subunit ribosomal RNA", at positions 524 to 776 of the family's 1533-position model. The record is from RNAcentral.